This 167-nucleotide unclassified non-coding RNA is filed under the name uncultured Sebacina. RNAcentral's name for it is "sequence contains ITS1". The record is from RNAcentral. Lineage: Eukaryota; Fungi; Basidiomycota; Agaricomycetes; Sebacinales; Sebacinaceae.
GUGAUUAUGAACGGUUGUCUUCUGUGCUGGCUGCGGCAAGUGCACGAUGAUGACUUUCAUCCAACACCCUUGUGAACCUUUGGCCUCUGGCUGGCUUCGGCUGGCUGAGGAUUUACACAAACUCGCAUGUAUUGAGGACCCUUCAUGUGCGCAAGCACUAUUAUAUA